AUCUGUAACGCAUUUGUGUGAUGUUCACCUUUGAGACCGCGCGGCUGGAUGGAGGCGGUGUUGCUGUUUCCCGUACACCUCGCCUUGGACAUGACCGUGACCACAGGCAGCGUCUGAGAGAUCGUGUGACCCUCUUGGGCCCUGACUUCCUUCCUAGAUCUCAGAGCGGAGUCUGGCAGAAAGCCCGUCACAUGGUGUGGCUUCCAGCUCCAAAGUGCACCCCCCAUACGGCUACUGCUCACCAUGGCCACGGCCAUCACGCCCGUUUCAGCUGCCACGCCCUGUCGUCUGGACCCGCCAUAGCGGCCACAGCACGAGCUCCACCUCCCGUCCGUCGUCCACACAGCAGCCAGAGCAACUGACAUGCCGAUCAGGUCCCGUCUCUCCCUGCGGAGAACUUCAGAACGGCCUUUGAUGAGAUUUAAGGUAAAAUCCGAAUUCUGUGCUGAAGCCCACGAGGCCUCCAUGAUCGAUCUGUGUGUGUUGUUUCAUAUUCUGUCCCGGCAGACUGGAGGCUCCGUGAGGGCAGGACAGGGCCGCUUUUACUCCACAAUUCAUAGCGCCUGGCGUAUAAUAGGCACUCAGUAAAUAUUUGUGGAUCGAACUCAUUUACUGAGAUGCUCACGCACACAUUCAUGCUACACCUGUUCACCUAGGCCCUCCUCCGGGCCGCCUCCCACACUGGUCUGGGGAAACGGGGUGAAUCAGAGGGCCCUCCUUGGCCUGCUCGGGAGUGGAUGACCCAGUACCAAGCCCAGGUUACGACGGUCUGCCCAACAGAAUUGCCCUUUCUUACCAGACUGUGACCGUCUGAUCCUCUGUGAGUCAGGCCAGUACUGGCUUAGGGUCAGGAAUCCGGGAGAGCUCACUGGGGCUCCUGUGGGGGUGUAGGAGAGAAUCCUAGCCCUCUGCCAUUGUCCUGAGCUGGCAUAUUGCACACAGCUUCUCCGUACACGUUUCCAUAGCAUCCUCACAGAACCCAUCUCGCUGGGUGCCACCAUUACAACCAGCACGUAGGCAAAGAAGUCAAGGUUCAGAGAGGGCAGGUGACUUGUCCAAGGUCACACAGACGGGAACCAGAAUGUAUCAAACACAUCCUGCACACCAUGCCUGGUUGCCAGCAUUCUACAUGUACUUUUAAUUUUUAAUUUUUAAUUUUAGAGAGAUAGCACGAGCAGGGGAGAGGGGCAGAGGAAGGGAGGGAGAGAGAGAGAGAGAAUCUUUUUUUUUUUUUAAUUUUUUUAACGUUUAUUUAUUUUUGAGACAGAGAGAGACAGAGCAUGAACAGGGGAGGGUCAGAGAGAGAGGGAGACACAGAAUCGGAAACAGGCUCCAGGCUCUGAGCUGUCAGCACAGAGCCCG
RNAcentral lists this long non-coding RNA (1362 nucleotides) under Felis catus (domestic cat). RNAcentral's name for it is "lncRNA (ENSFCAG00000046835.1)". Lineage: Eukaryota; Metazoa; Chordata; Mammalia; Carnivora; Felidae. The record is from RNAcentral.